ACUCCAUUAGAGAGAUGGAAGACUCCCUCUGCUCUCCUAAUGAAGCUGAAUACUAUCAACAUCCUGCCACCACGUAGCUAUUUUGUUGUAUUUAUGACACAUGUAGUUUCUCUAAUUCACUAUCAUUCAAUAAGCAGGGCAAGUGAAGUAGCCUUUUCAUACAUUUCAGUGAAAUAAAAAUGCUCUUGUUUUCAAACGAGGAAAGCAAAACUCCUGAAUUCUAGCUGAAAGGCCUGGAGAAGAAGGAACUGGGAGGUUCCAGGGGGCCCCUAAUGAAACUCGCUGAUGUCUCAACGUAAACAUAGAGGAAGGAAGGACAGGAAGAGGAGCCGUGCGUGGUGAUACCCACAGCCCCCUGGCCUUUGACAAGCUCUGGCUAGCUCAUUAACAUUCAUCCUAUGGAAUAAGGGACACAGCAGAAAUAUGGCAGCCCCGCCAAUCUCAACCUGUGCACCGCUAAAUAAGCUGCAUUAGGGAGACCUCUCCAGUGAUGGCUGCUUUCCAGACACAUUUUUAUAGUCUUGCUCCGAUCACAGAUCUUUCUCGUAUGUCUCUGAGAACCAUGUGACAUUCCAAACCUUUUAAGAGCUCCUUCCCAUGUACCAGCAUGCACUGCACACUGA
Long non-coding RNA from Talpa occidentalis (Iberian mole), 623 nucleotides. RefSeq lists it as uncharacterized. NCBI's taxonomy places the organism in Eukaryota, Metazoa, Chordata, Mammalia, Eulipotyphla, Talpidae. The record is from RefSeq and is a predicted model, not a curated record. The transcript has 3 exons.